This 98-nucleotide signal recognition particle RNA is filed under the name Simkaniaceae bacterium. RNAcentral describes it as "signal recognition particle sRNA small type". It matches the Rfam family "Bacterial small signal recognition particle RNA". Rfam says of the family: The signal recognition particle (SRP) is a universally conserved ribonucleoprotein involved in the co-translational targeting of proteins to membranes. Archaeal SRP consists of a 7S RNA and homologues of the eukaryotic SRP19 and SRP54 proteins. The record is from RNAcentral. Lineage: Bacteria; Pseudomonadati; Chlamydiota; Chlamydiia; Parachlamydiales; Simkaniaceae.
GCCGGGGACCCCCUGGAAUGUCGAUUUUUGAACUAGGUCAGAUCGGGAACGAAGCAGCCUUAAGAAAAUAACGAAUGCCAGGGGUCAUCUCCGGCACU